UGGGUUUUUUUUUGGUUUGAGUUUUUUUUUUUUUUUUUUCCUGCCGUUGGAACUGGCAUUCCUCAUGACAUCCACCAGAGGUCGCCAACAGACAGAGCCCCUGGAAGGCUGCUGAGUUCAACCCGUCUACACACCUGCAGCUUGUUUUGGAGGGCGUGGAUUAUGGAUUUAAGCAGCAGCUCCUCUCCGUCUCAUCGCCUGAGUGUUUGCUUACUUCGAUAUCCUGCUGUUCCCUCGCGGUUCUGGCGAAGAGCAGUCCUCCCCGAGUUCAGUGCGCGCCUGUGCUCCCCUCGUUGUGGAUUCCCUACCUCCUGUGUCCUCCCUCGACGCUGUCGGUGCUACCGGUCAGAAGCCACCCCUCGUGUGUCCACCCUUUCCUCUCGUCGAUCCCUCUCUGGUGGAACCCCCCUCAUUCCAAGUAAGACAGACUCUGGAAUAUUCCCGAAGGAUUUUCUCCUCACUGCUCUGACCCUGCUUCUCCUGUUGGUAGCAAGACGACCCGGUCAUCUGCACCAGGAGUCGCGUCCUGACCCCUCCCCUGACUUCAAUAAACUGAUUAUUGUGCACUUGAUCGUUCUCUCUGAUUGUGUUCUUGCAUGUGGGUUCGUAAAGUAAAACUCAACAUGACAGACCGAGGUUUCUUUGGGAGCAUGAGUUACACCUAACACCCAGCACUCCAACAGAAUUACUUGUCAGUGAUCCUGAAAUAAAGACAAUUCAGGCGCUUGCAACUGAAGUCAAAAGCAGUAAUGACGUCCUCAAACUUCUGAAUCGGUUUUCCUCUUGGAAACACUUCUCAAGGUCGUUGCAAGAAUCAAGAGACUGGGUUCAAAGCAACAACAUAGUGAACAUGUGACUGUUUAAGAGCGUGAAAAGGCUGAAACAGUGAUUAAGAUUGUACAACAGCAAGCCUUCCCAAAUGAGGUAAAGAUGCUGGAAAGUGAAAAGAACAUUCCAAACACCAGCGCUCUUUUCAGUUUUGAUCCUAUCUGGUCUGAUGGGCUUCUCAGUGUGGGAGGGAGAUUAAAGCAGUCAUCUCUCUGUCUUAAAGUCAAACACCCAGUGAUACUACCCAACAACAGUCAUAUUACUAAGCUGAUUGUGUCCCACUACCAUGCUAAGACAAGCCAUCAAGGUUGAGGCCAGACACAAAUGGAGCUUAGGACCAAUGGAUUCUGGGUCAUUGGUGGGAGUAAGUUGAUGUCCAAGCUGAUACACGAUUUUGUGUUUUGCAGAAAACUUAGGCGGACAAGCAGAGAAUGGCUGACCUUCCUAAAGAACGUGUCGAAUCCUCUGCACCUUUCACGUAUAGUGGCAUGGACUGUUUUGGCCCUUUCAUUGUGAAGAAAGCCCGCAAAGACAGAUAUGGCCUAAUUUUCACAUGUCUCUACUCUAGAGCUGUCCAUAUCGAAAUGCUCGAAGACUUGUCAGCUGACUCAUUGAUAAAUGCACUGAGAUGCUUUAUUAGCAUUAGAGGAGCUGUACGACAACUGCACUGUGAUCAAGACUCUAAUUUUGUUGGUGCCAGGAACGAGUUCAUGCAAGCACUUAAACAAUGUGACACUAAGUUACUAGAAGUUUUUUUGAUGGCUUAACAGUGUGAAUUUGUUUUCAAUUCCCCCUCUGCCAGUCAGGCAGGUGGUAUCUGGGAAAGACAGAUCAGAACUAUCAGAAACGUGUUGAAUGCUACCUUUGCAUAGUCCGACUUGAUGACGCCUCCCUCAGGACAUUACUAUAUGAGGCCAUGGCUAUUGUCAACAGCCGCCCAUUAACAGUGGAUGGAAUCAAUGAUCCUUGAGCAUUGGAGCCCAUAACACCGAACCAUCUCAUUAUGAUGAAAUCUAAGGUUGCUCUCCCUCCCCCUGGAGUGUUUGUCAUAGAGGACCUAUUUGCCACAAAGAGGUGGAGGAGAGUGCAGUAUCUUAUUGAACAAUUCUGGAGUCACUGGAAAAGGGAAUAUUUGUUGAACAUUUCCAUGAGACAUAACCUCAAGAAAGAGGACAUUGUCAUUAUCAAAGACGAUAACCUUCCAAGAAAUCAGUGGCAACUAGGACGAGUGGUUGAAACUGUUCAAGGCAGUGAUGGAUUGGUCCAUCGAGUCAAAGUUCAAGUCGGAGAGCGAAAGUGAAAUUCCUCUUCUAAACUCUCAGUUAUUGAGAUACGAAUCCAGAAAUUAGUUCUUCUUUUGGAAAAUUGAUGAGAACAGAUGAACAACUUUCGUACAGUUCAGUUAUUCCAUGAUAGUUUUAUGCAAACAUAUUUAUUUAGUAGAGUCAAGAAAUCCUGUUCAAUUUAUUUACCCUUUAUGUAUUACUUUGUUCAUUGAUUGUGACAGGAUUUGGUGGGAGUGUAAAUAGCUACACUCUUUACACUGACGCUGGACCAGCGGCCCUCUUCUGGGUACGAUGUUUUCAAUGUGUCCGCUGUCCAAAUGAUAAAAUCCUCCUUGUUCAUUGGUCCAAUAGUGACACCUAGUGGUUAAUUUAUGCUUUUAUUUUGAAGAACGGUAUAUUUCUUCGUGUGUUUUGUGAUAUGCACUUCCUGUUCUUACUAAGCACGAUGAGACAGUGUUAGAUCCUGAUGGAACCCGAAGGAAAUCUUUAAAAUAGCGCCCUUGGAAAGCAAAAUGAGUUUUCAUGGUGUCUAUGACAAGAAAAGUCAAGAAUAAACUGCACCUGUUUGGAACUCCCUGCGUCUGGCUGUUUAUUCCAGGUGGCCGCUACAAUAACAGGAACUCAGAAGUUCUUGUUAUGAAGUUCUGACAUCCCUCAGACCUUCUCUCAGUGAUCAAGUUAAACUAUUUAUUAGAUUUGUAUCUGUAGCAGUUUUAUUUAUUGUUUAUUCUCUCUCUUAAUUUUUGUGUUUUAAUACCCCAACCCCUAACUUGAAAACAAAAACCUGUUGUUGCUAUGGCACAUAAUAGUGUUGAGAUUCAGAUGUGCUCAUCUGAAUCUCUAAGCACUCUGCACAGGAACACAGGGAGAGUGUUUGUCAAGGAGGAAUAACAUUCCUCUGCUUCAGCAGUGGACUGAUGCAGAAAGUCACAACAGCCCCUGUGGUUCCUGCUUGACUGUUAGAGCUCAGACGUGUAAACUGGUCUGCCAGGGUGAAGGCUAGCAGAAGUCCAACUCUAGCUGAAACGUUCUAUCAUACCAGACGGGUUGGAAAAUAAUUUUGGCUCAGAAUGGUCAGAGGAGUGCAUUUUGGGGGUUUUAAUGCAAGCCUGAUCUUUCUGAUGUUCUCUGUCGAAGGCUUGUUGUUGAAGGAGCAACACAGGAAUGCAGAGGUGACUCAAGGGCUCAGCAAAGCUAUCUUAGAAAUGAUGCAUAUCAAGAAAGUGUCGGCGAGUCAUCAGGCCAAACCUCAUCCUUACAUGAAUAGGAUCUAUCAACAUCUGGAGUCACUGGAAGCUCAAGACUUUGGAAGAUCAGAUGGAAUCCUAGUGCAGAGUUUUCGAAGUGUUGAUGGGCCCCAUCAUGCUCCACAAGGAUGGAUCUGGUUCAACAUCAGCAGCCUGAACCUCUCCAUGCUGGGUGCAGAGUUGGUCCUCUACAGGAAGACCCUCCAUUCAUGCCCUCUCACUGUCACUGUGACCCUGCACAGCAUCAUUGCAUCACAGCACAAUCUGAAUGAAAUUCCUGCUUUGGAAGAGAGGCAGCUGACGCUGGACCAGCGGCCCUCUUCUGGGUACGAUGUUUUCAAUGUGUCCGCUGUUUUGGUUAUGCAGCAUCUGGAGGUGGUGGGCUUCCAGCUGAGGUAUACAGAUGAGAGUGGGAGUUUGGUCCUCCAUGAGGCGCUGACACAGAGUCUGUACUGUUUGAGCAGAGGCGCUCUGCAGGAACCCUUACUGGUGCUUUACGAAGCACGGCCUCUUCAGUUCUAAUGACAUCACCUUGACCACAGAAAAUUCAAGGAAAAACGAUACAGUUUAUUUCCUCUUGUAUCUGAUGGCAGAAAUUCCUAAACAGUAUGUUUUGUUUUGAAUGAGUAUGCAUUUUUCUGUAAUUUCAAAUGGAGUUCAGCUUGUCUGAGAAACCAGUGAUAAAUAAUUCAAACAGCCAGCUGACAACAUUCAGAUAGAGCAGAAUUUUGAAGUGAAGCUCCUUCAAGGUUGUAAGCAGUUAUUUUUUUUAGUAUAAAUCGAGACUAGCUAGUCGUGAAGACUACAGCUAAAGGCUAAUCUGAGAGGGAUGAAGACCAAGUCAUUCUUCAGUCUGAAUGCAUUAGCGGUUUUGCUAAAGCUCUUUUAGUCGUCUUUAAACCAUUGUCAGGGUUUGUGUUCUCCCUACAUGUAACCUCCUUUCUCUUUGACACUGUAUAAUAAAGCAAAGAUGCUCAUCUUAA
Xiphophorus hellerii (green swordtail) is the source of this 4344-nucleotide RNA transcript. RefSeq lists it as uncharacterized. Lineage: Eukaryota; Metazoa; Chordata; Actinopteri; Cyprinodontiformes; Poeciliidae. The record is from RefSeq and is a predicted model, not a curated record. The transcript has 4 exons.